Molecule: long non-coding RNA, 1624 nt
Filed under: Equus asinus (donkey)
Lineage: Eukaryota; Metazoa; Chordata; Mammalia; Perissodactyla; Equidae
Description: lncRNA (ENSEASG00005027586.1)
Source: RNAcentral
CCGGUGACCAGUCUCCAGGUUGGAAGAUUCCUCCCUUGUCCCUGCCUUUCCUAAAAAAAGAAACCAGCUCAUUGCAGCCUGAGGCUCUUUCUUUUAGAGGAUUCCUCCUUUCCUCUUCUGGAAGUUCGAGCGAUAGUCUUUUUAAGACUCAGAGAAGAAACCGAAGCACAGAAAGGUGAAGCAAAGUUGGUGCUUGACCCCAUCGCUCAAAAGGGGCAGAGUGGAAGAACGCGUGUGACCAGAAACCAGGCAGGAAAGGGUUAAAGUCUGAUCCAUAACUAAACAAAGUCUGUCAAGUGUUUUCCAGACAAGGAGAAAACUAUAUGUGCUGUUUUCCAGAAGUUGAUGUCCUCCUUUUGGCAGAUGGUGCCCUCCUACAGUGAGACUUACACCGUUGCAGCAGGACCCCUGUAAAUUCCUCCAGUUCCAAGUAUCCAAAACUUACCUUGGACCUGUUCUGUAAGGCAUGUUGCAUUGAGCUCACUAUGUAAUGGCCUGCACAUGCUCCCUGAUUAGGCCCAUUUGUUACACAGUUGUAACAUAUGGACACUCCGGAGCAUAAAGUCUCCACCUGCACUAAGGGGGGAGGGGAUGGGGAAGGCAGUGCUGUGGAAGCUAUGCCCAGUGUCCUCCAUUGCUUACUGCAAGCAACUAAACCAUUUUUCUUCACUCACUUAGCCUUGGUUGUGCUUUUCAGCCCUGCGCUCACCCAUUGAGUUCGGUUACACAUGGGCAGAUGGUUUUACUCUAGAGCUUGUAUUCUCAACCAUUAUGAUAACAACUGACAAACCACCUGGAAAAAAACAAAGAUGGAGCUCAGCAGUAGGUCCUGGUCCAGCUUGCUGGGCUCAACCCUUGCUCUUUGGCCCUGAAACAUGGGCGGUAUCUGAGUGCAUAUGUCCACAGAUGGGUCAUUGUUAGCACAGGGAUAGAAAUAUCUUGGCGUUAUUAUCUAACCUGUGAACAGGUAGCAGGAUGGCCCUGGUGGCAGAGAAAGAAAUUGUGCCCACCACCAGGAAGUGAGAACCAGGCGAUGAGAUGUGUUAAAGGCAGGUUUGCAACCUGGUAAAGUAAUUAUGCUGGACUUGAAAGGACCUCACCCUGGAAAUGCAAAAUGCCAUUGUAAACAACCUACGUGUUUCCCACCAAGAAGAGGAGAAAGCUGAGAAGGAAAGCUCCCCCAACAUCUGCAUGCUGGAUAUACCUUUGACUCUGCUCUGCCUGCCUGUGCCCUGGGACCUGACCUCCAUGGCCUGCAUCUCUUGGGCUUUCUUGUCCUCUGGCUUCCAUUUGUCUUCAAUGGAUGUACCAGCAGGAAACCAGAGAUCCAGAGGAGAGAGCAGUUAGAAUGUUUACUCUGAUGGCUGCAGAUUUGGCAGUGGCUGCAUUCCUCAAUCUAUGGCCACAUCUCCUGGUGGGUGGCCUCUUUCCCAUGACGAUGGGCUCACUGGCUUCCACUAACACUGCUCCCUCCCCUUGUCCCUUUGUGCCUAGGGGAGGGGAAGUCUUCUCACUCUUGCUAAUUCCUGAGUACUUAACCAUUUAUUGUUGAGUCCAUUAAUCCUGCCAGCACCUGUGUCAACAGUCUUUCCAUUAAACUCGCUUCAGUUAAGCUUUGGAUGUA